This 27-nucleotide non-coding RNA is filed under the name Rattus norvegicus (Norway rat). The record is from RNAcentral. Lineage: Eukaryota; Metazoa; Chordata; Mammalia; Rodentia; Muridae.
UGACCAGAGGGGCAAUUGCCAAGCUGU